CUGCCCUUCCAUCCCUUGGAUAGAUAGAGAGGGAGGGCCGAGCUUUUGGUUUUUUCAUGUUGUCAAAGAGUUGAACAAUGAAAAUAGAUGGCGAGUGCCUGAUCGAAUUGAUCGGGUCAUGUAGGAACAAGGUUCAAGUCUACCGGUCUGUUAGGAUGCCUCAGCUGCAUACAUCACUGCACUUCCACUUGACACCUAUCGUAAUGAUAAACGGCUCGUCUCGCCGUGACCUUC
Molecule: ribosomal RNA, 234 nt
Filed under: Pteroceltis tatarinowii
Lineage: Eukaryota; Viridiplantae; Streptophyta; Magnoliopsida; Rosales; Cannabaceae
Description: 4.5S ribosomal RNA
Source: RNAcentral